CCAGCUCCAAUAGCGUAUACUAAAGUUGUUGCAGUUAAAAAGCUCGUAGUUGGAUUUCUGGUAAUGAAUUUAGGUCCAUCUCGCGAGAGAUGCGCACUUAUAAUUAAUUGCCAUCUUUACUAAUAACAUGCAUGGCCUUCACUGGUCGUGUAUGGGGUUAGUAUCAUUUACUGUGAGCAAAUUAGAGUGUUCAAAGCAGGCUUAUGCCGUUGAAUAUAUUAGCAUGGAAUAAUAAGAUAAGACCUAGGUUUAUUUUGUUGGUUAACAUUCCAAGGUAAUGAUUAAUAGGGAUAGUUGGGGGUAUUCGUAUUCAAUUGUCAGAGGUGAAAUUCUUGGAUUUAUGGAAGACGAACUACUGCGAAAGCAUUUACCAAGGAUGUUUUCA
RNAcentral lists this ribosomal RNA (385 nucleotides) under uncultured Chrysophyceae. RNAcentral's name for it is "SSU rRNA". It matches the Rfam family "Eukaryotic small subunit ribosomal RNA", at positions 585 to 972 of the family's 1831-position model. The record is from RNAcentral. Lineage: Eukaryota; Chrysophyceae.